RNAcentral lists this ribosomal RNA (450 nucleotides) under uncultured bacterium. Its description in RNAcentral is "bacterial SSU rRNA". It matches the Rfam family "Bacterial small subunit ribosomal RNA", at positions 45 to 494 of the family's 1533-position model. The record is from RNAcentral.
GGCCUAACACAUGCAAGUCGAGGGGUAUAGGUAGCUUGCUACCUAGAGACCGGCGCACGGGUGCGUAACGCGUAUGCAACCUACCCUUUUCUGGGGGAUAGCCCGAAGAAAUUCGGAUUAAUACCGCAUAAGACCACGAUACGGCAUCGUGAUGUGGUCAAACAUUUAUGGGAGAAGGAUGGGCAUGCGUGCCAUUAGCUAGUUGGCGGGGUAACGGCCCACCAAGGCGACGAUGGCUAGGGGAUCUGAGAGGAUGGCCCCCCACACUGGUACUGAGACACGGACCAGACUCCUACGGGAGGCAGCAGUAAGGAAUAUUGGUCAAUGGAGGCAACUCUGAACCAGCCAUGCCGCGUGCAGGAAGACAGCCCUCUGGGUCGUAAACUGCUUUUAUUCGGGAAUAAACCUUAUUACGUGUAAUAAGCUGAAUGUACCGAAGGAAUAAGGAUC